CCUACGGGAGGCUGCAGUGAGGAAUAUUGGUCAAUGGGCGGAAGCCUGAACCAGCCAAGUAGCGUGCAGGAUGACGGCCCUACGGGUUGUAAACUGCUUUUAUACGGGAAUAACGCGCCUUACGUGUAGGGCUUUGCAUGUACCGUCUGAAUAAGGGCCGGCUAAUUCCGUGCCAGCAGCCGCGGUAAGACGGAAGGUCCGGGCGUUAUCCGGAUUUAAUGGGGUUAAAGGGGGCGUAGGCCGCAUGGCAAGCGUGCUGUGAAAUGUCCGGGCUCAACCCGGGCCUUGCAGCGCGAACUGGCGUGCUUGAGUCCGCGGAAAGCAGGCGGAAGUCGUGGUGUAGCGGUGAAAUGCUUAGAUAUGACGAAGAACCCCGAUUGCGAAGGCAGCUUGCUGCAGCGGAACUGACGCUGAUGCUCGAAAGCGCGGGUAUCGAACAGGAUUAGAUACCCUAGUAGUC
This 460-nucleotide ribosomal RNA is filed under the name uncultured bacterium. RNAcentral's name for it is "partial 16S ribosomal RNA". It matches the Rfam family "Bacterial small subunit ribosomal RNA", at positions 338 to 795 of the family's 1533-position model. The record is from RNAcentral.